This 180-nucleotide RNase P RNA is filed under the name Escherichia coli. RNAcentral describes it as "partial RNase P RNA component class A". It matches the Rfam family "Bacterial RNase P class A", at positions 175 to 367 of the family's 367-position model. Rfam says of the family: Ribonuclease P (RNase P) is a ubiquitous endoribonuclease, found in archaea, bacteria and eukarya as well as chloroplasts and mitochondria. Its best characterised activity is the generation of mature 5'-ends of tRNAs by cleaving the 5'-leader elements of precursor-tRNAs. Cellular RNase Ps are ribonucleoproteins. The record is from RNAcentral. Lineage: Bacteria; Pseudomonadati; Pseudomonadota; Gammaproteobacteria; Enterobacterales; Enterobacteriaceae.
GCACCGCGCGGCUGGUAACAGUCCGUGGCACGGUAAACUCCACCCGGAGCAAGGCCAAAUAGGGGUUCAUAAGGUACGGCCCGUACUGAACCCGGGUAGGCUGCUUGAGCCAGUGAGCGAUUGCUGGCCUAGAUGAAUGACUGUCCACGACAGAACCCGGCUUAUCGGUCAGUUUCACCU